UGGGGAAUUUUGCACAAUGGGGGGAACCUUGAUGCAGCGACGCCGCGUGAGGGAUGGAGGCCUUCGGGUUGUGAACCUCUUUCGCUCGUGUGCAAGCCGCUAUUUGGGUAGUGGUGAGUGUAGCGGGUAAAGAAGCGCCGGCUAACUACGUGCCAGCAGCCGCGGUAAUACGUAGGGCGCGAGCGUUGUCCGGAUUUAUUGGGCGUAAAGGGCUUGUAGGCGGUUUGUCGCGCCUGUCGUGUAAUCCUCUGGCUUAACUGGGGGUGUGCGGUGGGUACGGGCAGGCUUGAGUGCGGUAGGGGAGAUUGGAAUUCCUGGUGUAGCGGUGGAAUGCGCAGAUAUCAGGAGGAACACCGGUGGCGAAGGCGGGUCUCUUGGCCGUUACUGACGCUGAGGAGCGAAAGCGUGGGGAGCGAACAGG
Molecule: ribosomal RNA, 421 nt
Filed under: Fusobacteriota bacterium
Lineage: Bacteria; Fusobacteriati; Fusobacteriota
Description: Fusobacteria bacterium partial 16S ribosomal RNA
Rfam family: Bacterial small subunit ribosomal RNA
Source: RNAcentral